This is a non-coding RNA of Rhopilema esculentum, 985 nucleotides long. NCBI's taxonomy places the organism in Eukaryota, Metazoa, Cnidaria, Scyphozoa, Rhizostomeae, Rhizostomatidae. The record is from RefSeq and is a predicted model, not a curated record.
UCAAUAAGUUGGCAGAUGUCUACUUUGGUGAAAUUGAGUGUUUUUCAUUCUGUUGUCAUUCUGUUAAAUCAAGAUUCGAGCAAAAUAUGAAGAAAUUAUGGAUCAUCCUAGCACUGGCAUUGGCCACAUUCAUAACAACAGAAGGAACUACGCUGCACAUAUGUGAACACAAUCAUUCCGUGCUAAAAUGCCCACGUGAUUUAAAAAUCCGGGUUACUUUUGCUUAUUACGGACGACAACAUGUGCGGAAUUGCCGAAGCGGACCGAUAAAAACGAAAGAGUGCCACGCUGAAAGCUCUGAGAAAAUCGUAAGACAUCUGUGCGAGAACCGUUCAUCCUGCAAGUUGAGAGCAAACAACAAAAUCUUUGGUGAUCCCUGCGUUGGAACAUACAAAUACCUGAAAGUUAGCUACUGUUGUUCGUAGAAGCAUUUACCCGAAGAAGAGUCUAUCAGCAUCAUGAGAGUCUGGUUGGAAACUAAAAUGUAUAUAUUUGGCUUUGUGUAAAUCAAGCAUGGUCAGAACUCACAUUAGAGCAUAGGCGAAGACUUAUAUUCUUUCGAGGGGGGGGGGGAUGGCGGGGCUUAAAAAUUAAUUGCAAUUGCUAACGGUGGCUGCCUAACGGUGGCUGCCAGUGGCGCAGUGUAGAAAUAUGCCUAGCUAAGAGUUCUAAGGCGAUUUAUUUUACAUUUUUCAUUAUCGUUGUUAUUUGAUCUUGAUUAAAUCUCCUGUGAUAAUUUUUAUCCUUGAAACCAAGAAUAUGAAAAAUUAGUCUAACAAACCGAUAGUCAACUUCUUUAUUUCCCGGGGGCUGAACCUCCUAACUUUUCAUCAGGAGGGGCUCAAGCCCUGGAGCCCCUAAUUCUGCGCCUAUGCAUUAGAGUAUUGUUGUAAGAUUCUUUUCUUAUGUAUUUAAUUCAACAGCAAAAAAUAUUUGUCUGGAAUAAUUUGCUGUUACAAGAGACAAUAUAACCUAAUAAAUGACA